GACGAACGCUGGCGGCGUGCUUAACACAUGCAAGUCGAACGGUGAAGCCCUUCGGGGUGGAUCAGUGGCGAACGGGUGAGUAACACGUGAGCAACCUGCCCCUGGCUCUGGGACAACCACUGGAAACGGUGGCUAAUACCGGAUACGACCCGCCUCGGCAUCGAGAGCGGGUGGAAAGUUUUUCGGCUGGGGAUGGGCUCGCGGCCUAUCAGCUUGUUGGUGAGGUGAAGGCUCACCAAGGCGACGACGGGUAGCCGGCCUGAGAGGGCGACCGGCCACACUGGGACUGAGACACGGCCCAGACUCCUACGGGAGGCAGCAGUGGGGAAUAUUGCACAAUGGGCGACAGCCUGAUGCAGCGACGCCGCGUGAGGGAUGACGGCCUUCGGGUUGUAAACCUCUUUCAGCUCCGAAGAAGCGAAAGUGACGGUAGGAGCAGAAGAAGCACCGGCUAACUACGUG
Molecule: ribosomal RNA, 462 nt
Filed under: uncultured bacterium
Lineage: Bacteria
Description: partial 16S ribosomal RNA
Rfam family: Bacterial small subunit ribosomal RNA
Source: RNAcentral